GAUGAACGCUGGCGGCGUGCUUAACACAUGCAAGUCGAACGAUGAAGCCCAGCUUGCUGGGUGGCUUAGUGGCGAACGGGUGAGUAACUCGCGAGUAACCUGCCCUUGACUCUGGGAUAAGCCUGGGUAACUAGGGCUAAUACUGGAUAUGUCUUCUCAUCGCAUGCUGGGGGUUGGAAAGAAUUAUUGGUUUUGGUUGGUCUCGCGGCCUAUCAGCUUGUUGGUGAGGUAAUGGCUCACCAAGGCGACGACGGGUGGCCGGACUGAAAGGGUGACCGGCCACACUGGGACUGAGACACGACCCAGACUCCUACGGGAGGCAGGAGUGGGGGAUAUUGCACGAUGGGCGGAAGCCGUAUGCAGCGACGCCGCGUGGGGGAUGACGGCCUUCGGGUUGUAACCCUCUUUCAGGAGGGAAGAAGAGAGAGUGACGGUACCUGCAGAAGAAGCGCCGGCUAACUACGUG
Molecule: ribosomal RNA, 466 nt
Filed under: uncultured bacterium
Lineage: Bacteria
Description: partial 16S ribosomal RNA
Rfam family: Bacterial small subunit ribosomal RNA
Source: RNAcentral